This 137-nucleotide small nuclear RNA is filed under the name Saimiri boliviensis boliviensis (Bolivian squirrel monkey). RNAcentral's name for it is "U1 spliceosomal RNA (ENSSBOG00000016403.1)". It matches the Rfam family "U1 spliceosomal RNA", at positions 1 to 131 of the family's 166-position model. From Rfam's summary of the family: U1 is a small nuclear RNA (snRNA) component of the spliceosome (involved in pre-mRNA splicing). Its 5' end forms complementary base pairs with the 5' splice junction, thus defining the 5' donor site of an intron. Lineage: Eukaryota; Metazoa; Chordata; Mammalia; Primates; Cebidae. The record is from RNAcentral.
AUACUUACCUGGCAGGGGAGAUACCAUGAUCACUAAGGUGGUUUUCCCAGGGCAAGGCUUAUUCAUUGCACAAUUUACCCUAAAGAAAUAACUGGACAAGAGCUCAGAUAUAUGUUUAUAUGGCAGUGCUUAAUCUC